Gammaproteobacteria bacterium GWF2_41_13 is the source of this 113-nucleotide non-coding RNA. NCBI's taxonomy places the organism in Bacteria, Pseudomonadati, Pseudomonadota, Gammaproteobacteria. The record is from Rfam.
CUAUCAGUGAAGCGAUUUACUGAGAAGGGGUAUGAGAAGUCAGCAGAAGACAUAGUACUUUCUAUCCGUAUACGCAAAAAUUUUUACUCAUGCUGCUCCUGGAUCCCGCGGUC